Molecule: long non-coding RNA, 454 nt
Filed under: Pan troglodytes (chimpanzee)
Lineage: Eukaryota; Metazoa; Chordata; Mammalia; Primates; Hominidae
Description: long non-coding RNA NONPTRT013871
Source: RNAcentral
CCGGAGUUCGCAGCGCGCACCGCGGCGUCCCCUGGGAAGUGUAGUCGGCGUGGGGCCCGAGGCAUGCCGGGAGUGGUAGUUCUCCCGCGGUUGGCGGGGUUUCGGGGACAGCUCGCGGCCUUUCGGGGGGUUCUCCUGGCUUGGGCCAUCCAGGCUUGGCUAGGAUUGCCGGCCUGGGGUUGAGGCGCUCGCAGUGGUCUCUUCCGGGCCGGGGUGGAUCCGGGCCUCUCCAGCGAGUGGGCGGCGUGCAGCCUCGUCUGGGCUUCUGGGACCAGCCCUACGCGGCUCGGGCCCCUUGGCCACUGGGUCCCGGGGCGCCGUCCGCGAGCGGCCUGGACUGCCGGAGACCCGCGGGAGGGAGCGCCUCGCCAGACCCACCGUGUCCACACUCUGCUCUCCCUGGGUAGGAAGACUGAGGAGGAAGGGAUGGCUGUGGAUCUGCUGUCUGCUCAGG